RNAcentral lists this ribosomal RNA (1207 nucleotides) under metagenome. RNAcentral's name for it is "bacterial SSU rRNA". It matches the Rfam family "Bacterial small subunit ribosomal RNA", at positions 298 to 1498 of the family's 1533-position model. The record is from RNAcentral.
GGUUGGCCCGCAACAUCUGGACUGAGACACUGCCCGGACCUCCACGGAGGGCUGCAGUAACGAAUAUUGUGCAAUGGGCGAAAGCCUGACACAGCGACGCCGCGUGUAGGAGGAAGUCCUUCGGGAUGUAAACUACUGUCAGGGUAAAGAAAGUCUGUUUCGGCAGAUUGAUCUACCCCAGAGGAAGUCACGGCUAACUUCGUGCCAGCAGCCGCGGUAAGACGAAGGUGGCAAGCGUUGUUCGGUAUUACUGGGCUUAAAGCGUGUGUAGGCGGAUAAAUAAGCGUUUUGUGAAAUCCCUCGGCUUAACCGAGGAAUUGCUUGACGAACUGUUUAUCUUGAGGCAAGUAGGGGUGCACGGAACUCUUGGUGGAGCGGUGGAAUCGUAGAUAUCAAGAGGAACGCCAGUGGUGAAGACGGUGCACUGGGCUUGUUCUGACGCUGAGACACGAAAGCGUGGGGAGCAAACAGGAUUAGAUACCCUGGUAGUCCACGCUGUAAACGAUGCCUACUAGGUCGUGGUGGUUCUGACACUCUCACGGCCGGAGCAAAAGUUUUAAGUAGGCCGCCUGGGGAGUACGGUCGCAAGGCUAAAACUCAAAGGAAUUGACGGGGGCUCACACAAGCGGUGGAGCAUGUGGAUUAAUUCGAAGCAACGCGCAGAACCUUACCUGGGUUUGACAUGGUUGGAUGCCCUCUUGGAAACAGGAGUAAGCUGCCCUUCGGGGUGAAACUUUCACAGGUGCUGCAUGGCUGUCGUCAGCUCGUGUCGUGAGAUGUUGGGUUAAGUCCUUUAACGAGCGAAACCCUUACCGUUAGUUGCCAGCGCGUUAUGGCGGGGACUCUAGCGGGACUGCCGGUGUUAAGCCGGAGGAAGGCGGGGACGACGUCAAGUCAUCAUGGCCCUUAUGCCCAGGGCUUCACACGUGCUACAAUGGUCGGUACAGAGCGACGCAAGACCGCGAGGUGGAGCAAAUCGCAAAAAGCCGGCCCCAGUUCGGAUUGCAGGCUGGCAACUCGCCUGCAUGAAGUUGGAAUCGCUAGUAAUCGCGUGUCAGCUAUAACGCGGUGAAUGAGUUCCUGAGCCUUGUACACACCGCCCGUCAAGUGAUGGGAGUUGGGAGUACCCGAAGUCGGAUUGCUAACCAGCAAUGGAAGCGUCUGCCGACGGUAAGCCCGAUGACUGGCACUAAGUCGGAACAAGGUA